AAUUGAGAGCUUGCUUUUGAUUAUUUUAGCGGCGGACGGGUGAGUAACGUGUGGGUAACCUGCCUUUUACUGUGGAAUAAUCGUUGGAAACGACGACUAAUACCGCAUACGGUUCUUGGAAGGCAUCUUCUAAGAAAGAAAGGAUUUAUUCGGUAAAGGAUGGGCCCGCAUCUGAUUAGCUAGUUGGUGAGAUAACAGCCCACCAAGGCAACGAUCAGUAGCCGACCUGAGAGGGUGACCGGCCACAUUGGGACUGAGACACGGCCCAAACUCCUACGGGAGGCAGCAGUGGGGAAUAUUGCACAAUGGGCGAAAGCCUGAUGCAGCAACGCCGCGUGAAGGAAGACGGUUUUCGGAUUGUAAACUUCUAUCAAUAGGGAAGAAAGAAAUGACGGUACCUAAAUAAGAAGCCCCGGCCAACUACGUGCCAGCAGCCGCGGUAAUACGUAGGGGGCAAGCGUUAUCCGGAAUUACUGGGUGUAAAGGGAGAGUAGGCGGCAAGGUAAGCGAUAUGUGAAAGCCUUAAGCUUAACUUAAGGAUUGCAUAACGAACUAUCUAGCUAGAGUACAGGAGAGGAAAGCGGAAUUCCUAGUGUAGCGGUGAAAUGCGUAGAUAUUAGGAAGAACACCAGUGGCGAAGGCGGCUUUCUGGACUGAAACUGACGCUGAGGCUCGAAAGCGUGGGGAGCGAACAGGAUUAGAUACCCUGGUAGUCCACGCUGUAAACGAUGAGUGCUAGGUGUCGGG
RNAcentral lists this ribosomal RNA (747 nucleotides) under uncultured bacterium. RNAcentral's name for it is "bacterial SSU rRNA". It matches the Rfam family "Bacterial small subunit ribosomal RNA", at positions 70 to 827 of the family's 1533-position model. The record is from RNAcentral.